Molecule: ribosomal RNA, 750 nt
Filed under: uncultured bacterium
Lineage: Bacteria
Description: bacterial SSU rRNA
Rfam family: Bacterial small subunit ribosomal RNA
Source: RNAcentral
GUUAAACAUGGCAGUCGAGCGACGAAUCGAGGUACUUGUACCAGAUGAAGAGCGGCGAACGGGUGAGUAACGCGUGGGAAAUCUGCCGAGUAGCGGGGGACAACGUUUGGAAACGAACGCUAAUACCGCAUAACAAUUGGAAUCGCAUGAUUCUUAUUUAAAAGAAGCAAAAGCUUCACUACUUGAUGAUCCCGCGUUGUAUUAGCUAGUUGGUAGUGUAAAGGACUACCAAGGCGAUGAUACAUAGCCGGCCUGAGAGGGUGAACGGCCACACUGGGACUGAGACACGGCCCAGACUCCUACGGGAGGCAGCAGUAGGGAAUCUUCGGCAAUGGACGAAAGUCUGACCGAGCAACGCCGCGUGAGUGAAGAAGGUUUUCGGAUCGUAAAACUCUGUUGUUAGAGAAGAACGUUAAGUAGAGUGGAAAGUUACUUAAGUGACGGUAUCUAACCAGAAAGGGACGGCUAACUACGUGCCAGCAGCCGCGGUAAUACGUAGGUCCCGAGCGUUGUCCGGAUUUAUUGGGCGUAAAGCGAGCGCAGGUGGUUUCUUAAGUCUGAUGUAAAAGGCAGUGGCUCAACCAUUGUGUGCAUUGGAAACUGGGGAACUUGAGUGCAGGAGAGGGGAGUGGAAUUCCAUGUGUAGCGGUGAAAUGCGUAGAUAUAUGGAGGAACACCGGAGGCGAAAGCGGCUCUCUGGCCUGUAACUGACACUGAGGCUCGAAAGCGUGGGGAGCAAACAGGAUUAGA